Molecule: long non-coding RNA, 350 nt
Organism: Ictalurus punctatus (channel catfish)
Lineage: Eukaryota; Metazoa; Chordata; Actinopteri; Siluriformes; Ictaluridae
Source: Ensembl
CAGACAGACAGUUGAAUGGAUGGAUGGAUGGAUGGAUGGAUGGAUGGAUGAUGGACAGAGAGUUGAAUGGAUGGAUGGAUGGACAGACAGACAGGUGAAUAGAUGGAUGGAUGGAUGGAUGGAUGGAUAGAUGGAUGGACAGACAGGUGAAUAGAUGGAUGGAUGGACGGAUGGAUAGAUGGAUGGACAGACAGGUGAGUAGAUGGAUGGAUGGAUGGAUGGACAGACAGGUGAAUAGAUGGAUGGAUGGAUAGAUAGAUGGAUGGACAGACAGGUGAAUAGAUAGAUGGAUGGAUGGACGGACAGGUGAAUAGAUAGAUGUAUGGAUUUAUAGAUGGAUGGACAGACAG